RNAcentral lists this transfer RNA (121 nucleotides) under Heterodermia speciosa. It matches the Rfam family "tRNA". From Rfam's summary of the family: Transfer RNA (tRNA) molecules are approximately 80 nucleotides in length. Lineage: Eukaryota; Fungi; Ascomycota; Lecanoromycetes; Caliciales; Physciaceae. The record is from Rfam by way of RNAcentral.
GGCAACCAGGCCGAGUGGUUAAGGCGACAGACUCGAAUUUUCCCAUUUCGGAUUAGUUUUCGAGUGGGGAAGCGGAUAUCUGUUUCAUUCGUGAGCGCAGGUUCAAAUCCUGCAGGUGUCG